GGCUGGGUAGCUCAGUUGGUUAGAGCGUGGGACUCAUAAGCCCGAGGUCGUGGGUUCGAAACCCACCCCAGCUACCA
RNAcentral lists this transfer RNA (77 nucleotides) under Patescibacteria group bacterium. Its description in RNAcentral is "tRNA-Met". It matches the Rfam family "tRNA". Rfam says of the family: Transfer RNA (tRNA) molecules are approximately 80 nucleotides in length. Their secondary structure includes four short double-helical elements and three loops (D, anti-codon, and T loops). The record is from RNAcentral.